RNAcentral lists this ribosomal RNA (253 nucleotides) under uncultured bacterium. Its description in RNAcentral is "partial 16S ribosomal RNA". It matches the Rfam family "Bacterial small subunit ribosomal RNA", at positions 524 to 776 of the family's 1533-position model. The record is from RNAcentral.
UACGUAGGGUCCGAGCGUUGUCCGGAAUUACUGGGCGUAAAGAGCUCGUAGGUGGUUUGUCACGUUGUUCGUGAAAACCCACAGUUCAACUGUGGGCGUGCGAGCGAUACGGGCAGACUAGAGUACUGCAGGGGAGACUGGAAUUCCUGGUGUAGCGGUGAAAUGCGCAGAUAUCAGGAGGAACACCGGUGGCGAAGGCGGCAUCCUGGACCAACACUGACACUGAGGAGCGAAAGCCAGGGGAGCAAACGGG